Molecule: ribosomal RNA, 253 nt
Filed under: uncultured bacterium
Lineage: Bacteria
Description: partial 16S ribosomal RNA
Rfam family: Bacterial small subunit ribosomal RNA
Source: RNAcentral
GACGAACCGUGCAAACGUUGUUCGGAAUCACUGGGCUUAAAGGGCGCGUAGGCGGGUCAGCAAGUCCGGGGUGAAAUCUUUCGGCUUAACCGGAAAAGUGCCUUGGAUACUGCUGAUCUUGAGGGAGGUAGGGGCAGCUGGAACUUCCGGUGGAGCGGUGAAAUGUGUUGAUAUCGGAAGGAACUCCUGUGGCGAAAGCGAGCUGCUGGACCUCUUCUGACGCUGAGGCGCGAAAGCUAGGGGAGCAAACGGG